CCUACGGGGGGCAGCAGUAGGGAAUCUUUCACAAUGGGCGCAAGCCUGAUGGAGCCACGCCGCGUGCAGGAUGACUGCCCUCGGGUUGUAAACUGUUUUUAUAAGCGAGAAAUAUGUUGGUAACUUAUGAAUAAGGAUCGGCUAACUACGUGCCAGCAGCCGCGGUCAUACGUAGGAUCCGAGCAUUAUCCGGAGUGACUGGGUGUAAAGCGUUGCGUAGGUGGAAUAAUAAGUAGCUAGUGAAAUCUGGUGGCUCAACCAUUCAGACUAUUAGCUAAACUGUUAAGCUCGAGACCGUUAGUGGUAACUGGAAGUUAAAGUGUAGGAGUGAAAUCCGUAGAAAUUAGGAAGAACGCCAAUAGCGUAAGCAGAUUA
This 375-nucleotide ribosomal RNA is filed under the name uncultured bacterium. RNAcentral describes it as "partial 16S ribosomal RNA". It matches the Rfam family "Bacterial small subunit ribosomal RNA", at positions 338 to 728 of the family's 1533-position model. The record is from RNAcentral.